RNAcentral lists this long non-coding RNA (1363 nucleotides) under Physcomitrium patens. RNAcentral's name for it is "long non-coding RNA (PPAT_LNC002376)". The record is from RNAcentral. Lineage: Eukaryota; Viridiplantae; Streptophyta; Bryopsida; Funariales; Funariaceae.
AAAAAAUAAUCACUUUGCAACUGCAACAUUGUUUCUUUUUAUUAAUUGGAUCACAAGAACUUGGAGUUACCUUACAAUCUAUGUUAUUGAUGUUGAUGUUUUUGUUUUUGGUUUUCUUGAAGCUGGGGAUAUAAUAUCCAUUUCUAAUAAUAAUAAUAAUAAUAAUAAGAAUAAAUUCUAUUGUUAAUUAGCAUCCUGCCAUUCUACAUCUAGUUGUCAUCUUCUUCAGAUAUUUUUAAAAGUUGCAGUUGCAAAGUACCAAGCCCACACACACUUCUAGCUUGAACCUGUCCAAAAGCAACAUAGAUGACCAUUUCAGGCACACCACCUCAAGGUGCGGGGAACCCUUUAAAUUAGCUUGGUAGGCAAUAAAUAGGAAUGUGGAAGAACUGGGCAGCUAGUCUCUUCUCAUAUCCAAGGAGUGCAGCAAGCAAGGAAUCAAGCAGCUCAAGGAAACAAAAUAGAAUGCUUUCAUUCAAUAACUGUGACAGGAAUGUGGUCAUUGGGCUAAGUUCACACCCACACACAAACCCAUCCAUCCAUUCUAGCCCACUGUGUCCUGUAGUGUGGGCUUUACUUCACAGAUUAGAGCAGGAGAAGAAGAAAACCCCUUUCUGGCUUUCUUUCAAUCCCAACAGCAGCAAUCUGCCUGAACUUACUCACCUGUAACUCCAAUAUUGUAUUCCACAUGAGUGCAGCAGCCCCAUCUUUUGAGUCCUCAAGGAAGACAGUGAUCACUAAGAGCCAUCACUCCACUCUGUAGUAGUGGCAGCUCCACAUCUUCAACACUGCCUUGAAGGCACACAAAGCCCACCCUCCUUUCUCCUCCUUUUUUUCUUUUUUCUCCCUUCUCCCCCAUCUCUUCCAACAAAGCACUUUCCCCAGUUCUAAAGGAGGCAUGGAGUGGGGGGUGGGGGUGUGGGAUGUCCUGAUGCUGAUAUCCAGUGUAAUAGUAAUCAUCGAUGCGCUCAUUGGACCAGUUAGAUCAGCAGUUUCAGCCCUGUCAGACCCCGCAAGAUCAUUAUUUAAGAUUGCACAAAACCUAUUGUGGUAGACAUGAAUAUUCUGAGACAAUCAUUUAGGGGAAAAUGGCAAAGCCUGGAAGGGAAGAUGAAGAGGAGACAGACAGACAGACAGACAGAUAGUUAUAUAUAUAGAUAUAUAUAUAUGUUGUGAUUGACAACAGAGUAGUGGUGAGGUGGUGAACUGGUGGUGGUGGUCUGGAAAAGCAAUCACAUGCCCUGAAUCUGGCAGAAGGAUAUGAGGGAGUGAGAGACAGAGUGAGUGAAAGAGAGCUCUCUCAAGCCAGAGCAUGUUGACAAAGUGGUGCCUGAAGCUCUCUCAUUAAGUGCCUGGGCACAGA